Molecule: unclassified non-coding RNA, 240 nt
Filed under: soil metagenome
Description: partial contains 5.8S ribosomal RNA, internal transcribed spacer 2, and large subunit ribosomal RNA
Source: RNAcentral
AACAAGGCGUACCUGCGGACCUGCGGAGGGAUCAUUACCGAGUGUGAACCCCCCCGUAAAAAAGAGGGGUUACCUCCCGUCCUUUGCUGGGAACCCCUUUCCAACUUGGAAGGAGGUUGUUUUCAGACCCUUCUGCUUCGGUGGGGUAACCCACCGGAACAACCUCAAAAAUAUUCUCAAUUCAAAACCGUUCAGUCCGAGAACUUUUUUGAAAAGCGAAAAAACUUUCAGCAACGGAUC